UGGGGAAUAUUGCACAAUGGGCGCAAGCCUGAUGCAGCCAUGCCGCGUGUGUGAAGAAGGCCUUCGGGUUGUAAAGCACUUUCAGCGAGGAGGAAGGUGGUGAGCUUAAUACGCUCAUCAAUUGACGUUACUCGCAGAAGAAGCACCGGCUAACUCCGUGCCAGCAGCCGCGGUAAUACGGAGGGUGCAAGCGUUAAUCGGAAUUACUGGGCGUAAAGCGCACGCAGGCGGUUUGUUAAGUCAGAUGUGAAAUCCCCGGGCUCAACCUGGGAACUGCAUUUGAAACUGGCAAGCUAGAGUCUCGUAGAGGGGGGUAGAAUUCCAGGUGUAGCGGUGAAAUGCGUAGAGAUCUGGAGGAAUACCGGUGGCGAAGGCGGCCCCCCUGGACGAAGACUGACGCUCAGGUGCGAAAGCGUGGGGCAGCAAACAGGAUUAGAUACCCUGGUAGUCCAGCGCUGUAAAACGAUGUCGAUUUGGAGGUUGUGCCCUUGAGGCGUGGCUUCCGGAGCUAACGCGUUAAAUCGACCGCCUGGGGGAGUACGGCCGCAAGGUUAAAACUUAAAGGAAUUGAC
RNAcentral lists this ribosomal RNA (572 nucleotides) under uncultured bacterium. RNAcentral describes it as "partial 16S ribosomal RNA". It matches the Rfam family "Bacterial small subunit ribosomal RNA", at positions 355 to 914 of the family's 1533-position model. The record is from RNAcentral.